AUACGGAGGGUGCAAGCGUUAAUCGGAAUUACUGGGCGUAAAGCGCGCGUAGGCGGUUUGGUAAGUCGGAUGUGAAAGCCCCGGGCUCAACCUGGGAAUUGCAUUCGAUACUGCCGAACUAGAGUAUGGUAGAGGGAAGUGGAAUUUCCGGUGUAGCGGUGAAAUGCGUAGAUAUCGGAAGGAACACCAGUGGCGAAGGCGACUUCCUGGGCCAAUACUGACGCUGAGGUGCGAAAGCGUGGGGAGCAAACAGGAUUAGAAACCCCUGUAGUCC
This 274-nucleotide ribosomal RNA is filed under the name uncultured bacterium. RNAcentral's name for it is "partial 16S ribosomal RNA". It matches the Rfam family "Bacterial small subunit ribosomal RNA", at positions 523 to 796 of the family's 1533-position model. The record is from RNAcentral.